Xenopus tropicalis (tropical clawed frog) is the source of this 595-nucleotide long non-coding RNA. RefSeq lists it as uncharacterized. NCBI's taxonomy places the organism in Eukaryota, Metazoa, Chordata, Amphibia, Anura, Pipidae. The record is from RefSeq and is a predicted model, not a curated record. The transcript is spliced from 3 exons.
GGGUCUUUUAGAUGCAGACAACUUACAGAAACUAUAAAAGGUCCAGCAUAUCUUGUGCAAGGCAGACAAUCAUUUGCUUGCUGUAUAUGCUUGUCCCCUCGCUGCGAGAGUCAUCAGAGAGUUGUAGUUGCCUGUCUGACUCUGCCAUACUACUCAGCCUGCCCUGCCGGAUAAACCAGCGACUGAGCCCUUUGCCUCCGUGUACACCCAGGACUUGCGGCUGCGGCCUGGACUGACUGCUUUAGUGUAACCGCGGCUGCGACCGGAUUAACCUGCAGUGAUGGUGUCUCCUGGCAGUAACGUUUCUUCAGACGGUUUUCUUACAUCCAGCCAGGUUCUGGAGCAACUCGAUCCUAUUAAACCAACUGCCCAAGGAAUGGAAUCUAGUGCGAGACCUCCUAAAGUUCUAUCUCCUGCUAUGCUAUUGCUUAAGGCUUUAGAGGAGGGGGGCCGCCCCAGUGUUAGAGCAACACCUGGCAGUAAAGUUUCUUCAGAUGGUGACAAAAAAUAAGAGUUAAUACCAGGGCCGGAACUAGGGGUAGGCAGAAGAGGCAGCUGCCUAGGGCGCAGCGAUUGAGGGGCACCAGGCAGCCUC